GCAUAACAUGUGAUUUUAUAAUGUAUUAUCUAUUACAAUGUUUUGAUGUAUUAUUUGGUACUGUUAUCUUUUCUGUUUGCUGUAAACCAUCUUGGUCAUAUUUUCUUUUUGGAAAGGUGGUAUACAAAUAAAAUGGAAAUGAAGCGUAAUAUAUUUAUAUGAAAGUGAAAUUAAUAAUUGAAAUAUAAUAGCUUUACCUUUCCUUUCAUCUAUAACUCACCACCUUUUCUUUUCUUGUCAGCCUCUUAUGGACCAAAUGAAACAAGUUAAGGACUUUCUCAAGAACUCUACCUUUGUUAUAAUUCAGGAAGGAAGUAUUGGGAUGAAAUAUAAAACUUGGGCAAAAGUGCAGAAAAUAACUGAACCACUUGUGAGAAGAUUGCGUGAAGAUACCCAACAAAUUGGAUGA
RNAcentral lists this long non-coding RNA (409 nucleotides) under Salvator merianae (Argentine black and white tegu). RNAcentral describes it as "lncRNA (ENSSMRG00000008210.1)". Lineage: Eukaryota; Metazoa; Chordata; Lepidosauria; Squamata; Teiidae. The record is from RNAcentral.